RNAcentral lists this ribosomal RNA (492 nucleotides) under uncultured bacterium. Its description in RNAcentral is "partial 16S ribosomal RNA". It matches the Rfam family "Bacterial small subunit ribosomal RNA", at positions 29 to 507 of the family's 1533-position model. The record is from RNAcentral.
AGUGAACGCUGGCGGUAGGCCUAACACAUGCAAGUCGAACGGCAGCACAGUAAGUGCUUGCUCUUACGGGCGGCGAGUGGCGGACGUGUGAGGAAUACAUCGGAAUCUACUUUUUCGUGGGGGAUAACGUAGGGAAACUUACUCUAAUACCGCAUACGACCUACGAUUGCAUGCAGGGGAUCUUCUGCCCUUGCGCGUUUGCAUGAGCCGAUGUCGGAUUAGCUAGUUGGCGGGGUAUAGGCCCACCAAGGCGACGAUCCGUCGCUGGUCUGUGAGGAUGAACAGCGACACUGGAGGUGAGACACGGUCCAGACUCCUACGGGCGGCAGCAGUGGGGAAUAUUGGACAAUGGGCGGAAUCCUGAUCCAUGCAUGCCGCGUGGGUGAAGAAGGCCUUCGUGGUGUAAGGCCCUUUUGUGGGGAAAGAAAAGCAGCAGGUGAAAAGCCCGCUGUUGUGACGGUACCCAAAGAAUAAGCACCGGCUAACUUCGUG